This 236-nucleotide long non-coding RNA is filed under the name Brassica napus (rape). RNAcentral's name for it is "long non-coding RNA (BNAP_LNC021191)". Lineage: Eukaryota; Viridiplantae; Streptophyta; Magnoliopsida; Brassicales; Brassicaceae. The record is from RNAcentral.
AGUUUAGAGAGAAUAGAGAGAUUCUAGAGAGAGAGAGAGACUCAAAACUCCAUUAAUUGAUUUAAUGUCACAGAUACAAGUUAUAAAUGAAGAGAUAAGGCUGAUACAAAGGGGAUUUCGAAAUGGGACUCAAAGCAUGUGAAGUCAAGGCUAGCUGGCUGCUAAGAGGCUUCACAUGCUUGGACAGGCUGUAAAGUAGCUUUACCUUUCCAACUAUGACCAGACCUUAUCCAAAC